UACGUAGGGGGCAAGCGUUGUCCGGAAUCAUUGGGCGUAAAGCGCGUGUAGGCGGUUCGGUAAGUCUGCUGUGAAAGUCCAGGGCUCAACCCUGGGAUGCCGGUGGAUACUGUCGGACUAGAGUACGGAAGAGGCGAGUGGAAUUCCCGGUGUAGCGGUGAAAUGCGCAGAUAUCGGGAGGAACACCAAUUGCGAAGGCAGCUCGCUGGGACGUUACUGACGCUGAGACGCGAAAGCG
This 238-nucleotide ribosomal RNA is filed under the name uncultured bacterium. RNAcentral describes it as "partial 16S ribosomal RNA". It matches the Rfam family "Bacterial small subunit ribosomal RNA", at positions 524 to 761 of the family's 1533-position model. The record is from RNAcentral.